GCCGGGGUGGCGUAACUGGUAGACGCUACGGACUUAAAAUCCGUUGGGCCAAAAGCCCGUGAGGGUGCGAGUCCCUCCCUCGGCACCA
This 88-nucleotide transfer RNA is filed under the name Bacillota bacterium. Its description in RNAcentral is "Firmicutes bacterium (anaerobic digester metagenome) tRNA-Leu". It matches the Rfam family "tRNA". From Rfam's summary of the family: Transfer RNA (tRNA) molecules are approximately 80 nucleotides in length. Their secondary structure includes four short double-helical elements and three loops (D, anti-codon, and T loops). Further hydrogen bonds mediate the characteristic L-shaped molecular structure. tRNAs have two regions of fundamental functional importance: the anti-codon, which is responsible for specific mRNA codon recognition, and the 3' end, to which the tRNAs corresponding amino acid is attached (by aminoacyl-tRNA synthetases). tRNAs cope with the degeneracy of the genetic code in two manners: having more than one tRNA (with a specific anti-codon) for a particular amino acid; and 'wobble' base-pairing, i.e. permitting non-standard base-pairing at the 3rd anti-codon position. The record is from RNAcentral. Lineage: Bacteria; Bacillati; Bacillota.